This 229-nucleotide unclassified non-coding RNA is filed under the name uncultured fungus. Its description in RNAcentral is "sequence contains ITS1, 5.8S rRNA gene". The stretch from base 181 to 229 matches the Rfam family "5.8S ribosomal RNA", at positions 1 to 49 of the family's 154-position model. Lineage: Eukaryota; Fungi. The record is from RNAcentral.
UCUCCGUAGGUGAACCUGCGGAGGGAUCAUUACUGAGUGAGGGUCUCCGGGCCCGACCUCCAACCCUUUUGUGAACCACCUCGUUGCUUCGGGGGCGACCCUGCCGUUCGCGGCGUGGGGCCCCCGGUGGACAUAUCAACUCUGCAUCAUGACGUCUGAGUUUAUACAAAAAUAAAUCAAAACUUUCAACAACGGAUCUCUUGGUUCUGGCAUCGAUGAAGAACGCAGC